GAGCGGAUGUCUGAGCGGUUAAAAGAGUCGGUCUUGAAAACCGAAGUAUUUUUAAAAAUACCGGGGGUUCGAAUCCCUCUCCAUCCC
This 87-nucleotide transfer RNA is filed under the name Datura stramonium (jimsonweed). RNAcentral's name for it is "tRNA-Ser". It matches the Rfam family "tRNA". Rfam says of the family: Transfer RNA (tRNA) molecules are approximately 80 nucleotides in length. Lineage: Eukaryota; Viridiplantae; Streptophyta; Magnoliopsida; Solanales; Solanaceae. The record is from RNAcentral.